RNAcentral lists this ribosomal RNA (492 nucleotides) under uncultured bacterium. Its description in RNAcentral is "partial 16S ribosomal RNA". It matches the Rfam family "Bacterial small subunit ribosomal RNA", at positions 29 to 507 of the family's 1533-position model. The record is from RNAcentral.
AGUGAACGCUGGCGGUAGGCCUAACACAUGCAAGUCGAACGGCAGCACAGUAAGAGCUUGUUCUUACGGGUGGCGAGUGGCGGACGGGUGAGGAAUACAUCGGAAUCUACUUUUUCGUGGGGGAUAACGUAGGGAAACUUACGCUAAUACCGCAUACGACCUACGGGUGAAAGCAGGGGAUCAUCGGACCUUGCGCGAUUGAUUGAGCCGAUGUCGGAUUAGCUAGUUGGCGGGGUAAAGGCCCACCAAGGCGACGAUCCGUAGCUGGUCUGAGAGGAUGAUCAGCCACACUGGAACUGAGACACGGUCCAGACUCCUACGGGAGGCAGCAGUGGGGAAUAUUGGACAAUGGGCGCAAGCCUGAUCCAGCCAUACCGCGUGGGUGAAGAAGGCCUUCGGGUUGUAAAGCCCUUUUGUUGGGAAAGAAAAGCAGCAGGUUAAUACCCCGCUGUUCUGACGGUACCCAAAGAAUAAGCACCGGCUAACUUCGUG